CUGAGAGGUUGAUCGGCCACAUUGGGACUGAGACACGGCCCAGACUCCUACGGGAGGCAGCAGUGGGGAAUAUUGGGCAAUGGGCGCAAGCCUGACCCAGCAACGCCGCGUGAAGGAAGAAGGCUUUCGGGUUGUAAACUUCUUUUAUUAGGGACGAUAAUGACGGUACCUAUUGAAUAAGCUCCGGCUAACUACGUGCCAGCAGCCGCGGUAAUACGUAGGGAGCAAGCGUUAUCCGGAUUUACUGGGUGUAAAGGGCGUGUAGGCGGGACUGCAAGUCAGAUGUGAAAACUAUGGGCUCAACUCAUAGCCUGCAUUUGAAACUGUAGUUCUUGAGUGCUGGAGAGGCAAAUGGAACUCCUAGUGUAGCGGUGAAAUGCGUAGAUAUUAGGAAGAACACCAGUGGCGAAGGCGAUUUGCUGGACAGUAACUGACGCUGAGGCGCGAAAGUGUGGGGAGCAAACAGGAUUAGAUACCCUGGUAGUCCACACCGUAAACGAUGGAUAGUAGGUGUGGGGGGUCUAACCCCCUCCGUGCCGCAG
This 542-nucleotide ribosomal RNA is filed under the name uncultured bacterium. RNAcentral's name for it is "bacterial SSU rRNA". It matches the Rfam family "Bacterial small subunit ribosomal RNA", at positions 292 to 851 of the family's 1533-position model. The record is from RNAcentral.